UCACUUCACAUUAAGCGAUCCAUCGCUAUAUGGAGUCGUGCCGGUUUCGGCCGGCUAUGGCGAUAAAUUGCGGUGUGCAAUAGGCACAGCGGACCCGGGGGCAGUACCCGGCGGCUCCACCAAAUGCUCCGUUGUCGGGGGCUGGAUCAUGGGGCCGAACCAGGAUCGACGUGUGUUGAAAGGCACUGUUUUCGCCCGGGCUGAGUAACCCGUUCAAGGCUCAAAACACACAAGUGCCAACGAUAACGAAGCACUCGCUCUCGCUGCGUAACCUGACGGCCUAACGGCCUGAUCUUACAAAGCUAAAGCGCGGUUGGACCCACCGGGCAACAGAAGGGAUACC
This 343-nucleotide transfer-messenger RNA is filed under the name Croceicoccus naphthovorans. It matches the Rfam family "Alphaproteobacteria transfer-messenger RNA". Rfam says of the family: Bacterial tmRNA, also known as 10Sa RNA or SsrA, is named for its dual tRNA and mRNA-like properties. Lineage: Bacteria; Pseudomonadati; Pseudomonadota; Alphaproteobacteria; Sphingomonadales; Erythrobacteraceae. The record is from RNAcentral.